Molecule: ribosomal RNA, 772 nt
Filed under: uncultured Neocallimastigales
Lineage: Eukaryota; Fungi; Neocallimastigomycota; Neocallimastigomycetes; Neocallimastigales
Description: partial large subunit ribosomal RNA
Rfam family: Eukaryotic large subunit ribosomal RNA
Source: RNAcentral
UCAGACGAUGCGUCAUGCAUAUCAAUAAGCGGAGGAAAAGAAACUAACAAGGAUUCCCUCAGUAACGGCGAGUGAAGCGGGAAGAGCUCAAAUUUGAAAUCUUGAAAGGUCACCUUUCACGAAUUGUAGUUUAAAGAAGUGUUUUCUGUUACGAUCGUAAUAUAAGUUCUUUGGAAUAGGACAUCAUAGAGGGUGAGAAUCCCGUAUGAUUGACCGAUUUGUCAGCUUUGUGAUACACUUUCAAAGAGUCGGGUUGUUUGGGAAUGCAGCCCAAAACGGGAGGUAAAUUUCUUCUAAGGCUAAAUAUUGGCGAGAGACCGAUAGCGAACAAGUACCGUGAGGGAAAGAUGAAAAGAACUUUGAAAAGAGAGUUAAAUAGUACGUGAAAUUGUCAAAAGGGAAGCGUUUAACACCAGUGUUGUUUUCUGAAAAUCAACCUCUGUUAGCUUUAUGCAUGUUUGUUUAGACCUAAUCAGCUAUCUUGCAUGUUCUAUUGUUUGCAGUGGUGCACUUUUCAGUUUACAGGUCAACAUCAGUUUUUUUUACCGUAAAAAAGUUAAAGAAAGGUAGCUCAUGGCUCCGGUCGUGAGUGCUAUAGUCUUUUUCCUAUGCGGUAGGAGAGACUGAGGUCUGCAGUGUAGGCUAUUUGGCUAGAUACUCAGGUGCUAUGUGAUACCAUUUCAUAAACAACUUAUUGAUUAUGUUUUGUCUAUUGCAUACUCGCUUGUACUAUCAUACCUACGCUUAGGAUGUUGAAGACUCUACAGAGAUA